Molecule: long non-coding RNA, 527 nt
Filed under: Callithrix jacchus (white-tufted-ear marmoset)
Lineage: Eukaryota; Metazoa; Chordata; Mammalia; Primates; Cebidae
Description: lncRNA (ENSCJAG00000072593.1)
Source: RNAcentral
AUGCCCAGGGGAAUCCAGUGUGGGAUUAUGACAAGCAAUGGCAGUUAGCUGGAUUUGCUGCCACUUUUUAACAGUCAGCAGCAAGAUGAACUUGGACCGUCAAAAAUAAACUCCAGGAAUGAAGUGAUUGCAGGAGUGCUAUUCAGGUGCCUUAUGUCUGGCGUGUUUGUUUGCCUUCCCAGGGCCAGCAAGCUUCCUCAGGGAUUACUGAGGCAUCUCCUUGGAAAUCACAGCUCAUUAAUCCUGCUGUGAAGAAAGAGGCAGCCAGGACCUCUGGCUUUUCCUUUUUCUGAGCCAUAUUCUGUUCCAGCCAGCUUGGAUACCUUACAUGGACCUUAACAGGGCUCAUUACCCAGCACCAGUUGGGACUCGCUACCAUCUGUAAACUGUGCAGCCUGGAGGGAGCCUGUUGACUGGCAAUGCCAGAGAUGUCUCUUCUCUUUGCCUUUGUAAAGUCAUUUCUUUUAGGUGUGGUGAUUAAUUUAUUGAAAUUCAGGUGAAGACACCUGACCAUUUGACAGAGGGAA